UCUUUGCUAGUAUAUCGGUUAGUACACGCGCCUGUCAUGAGACAACCUUCGUCGCGCGAAAGCUGGGUUCGACUCCCAGGCAAAGAG
This is a non-coding RNA of Termitomyces sp. 'cryptogamus', 87 nucleotides long. NCBI's taxonomy places the organism in Eukaryota, Fungi, Basidiomycota, Agaricomycetes, Agaricales, Lyophyllaceae. The record is from the annotation of a GenBank genome assembly.